AUUGAACGCUGGCGGCAUGCUUUACACAUGCAAGUCGGACGGCAGCGGGGUAGUGCUUGCACUACUGCCGGCGAGUGGCGAACGGGUGAGUAAUAUAUUGGAACGUACCGAGUAAUGGGGGAUAACCAAUCGAAAGAUUGGCUAAUACCGCAUACGCUCUGAGGAGGAAAGCAGGGGACCUUCGGGCCUUGCGUUAUUCGAGCGGCCAAUAUCUGAUUAGCUAGUUGGUGGGGUAAGGGCCUACCAAGGCGACGAUCAGUAGCGGGUCUGAGAGGAUGAUCGGCCACACUGGGACUGAGACACGGCCAAGACUCCUACGGGAGGCAGCAGUGGGGAAUUUUGGACAAAGGGGGCAAGCCUGAUCCAGCAAUGCCGCGUGUCUGAAGAAGGCCUUCGGGUUGUAAAGGAAUUUUGUUAGGGAAGAAAAAGGAGCGGUUAAUACCCGAUUCUGCUGACGGUACCUAAAGAAUAAGCACCGGCUAACUACGUG
This 490-nucleotide ribosomal RNA is filed under the name uncultured bacterium. RNAcentral's name for it is "partial 16S ribosomal RNA". It matches the Rfam family "Bacterial small subunit ribosomal RNA", at positions 30 to 507 of the family's 1533-position model. The record is from RNAcentral.